Molecule: ribosomal RNA, 449 nt
Filed under: uncultured bacterium
Lineage: Bacteria
Description: partial 16S ribosomal RNA
Rfam family: Bacterial small subunit ribosomal RNA
Source: RNAcentral
AACGAACGCUGGCGGCAUGCCUAACACAUGCAAGUCGAACGAGAUCUUCGGGUCUAGUGGCGCACGGGUGCGUAACGCGUGGGAAUCUGCCCUUUGGUUCGGAAUAACAGUUGGAAACGACUGCUAAUACCGGAUGAUGACGAAAGUCCAAAGAUUUAUCGCCAGAGGAUGAGCCCGCAUAGGAUUAGCUAGUUGGUGUGGUAAAGGCGCACCAAGGCGACGAUCCUUAGCUGGUCUAAGAGGAUGAUCAGCCACACUGGGACUGAGACACGGCCCAGACUCCUACGGGAGGCAGCAGUGGGGAAUAUUGGACAAUGGGCGAAAGCCUGAUCCAGCAAUGCCGCGUGAGUGAUGAAGGCCUUAGGGUUGUAAAGCUCUUUUACCCGGGAUGAUAAUGACAGUACCGGGAGAAUAAGCUCCGGCUAACUCCGUGCCAGCCGCCGCAGUAA